AUGUUAUCCACAUGCUUCAUCAUCGCUGCCCUGUGCGCUAUCAGGACCGUUGUCUUGUUCCCCAUGACCAAUGUGUCAAGAGCUUCCUGUACCACUCUACUUGAUUCAGACUCGAUCGCAGAGCUGGCCUCGUCCAACAACAAUAUCGGCGCAUUCUUCAAAACCACUCUAGCAAUGGCAAUACGUUGCUUCUGCCCAGGUGUCAGAUCAACCCCUCGCAUUCCCACAUGA
Molecule: ribosomal RNA, 231 nt
Filed under: Triticum aestivum (bread wheat)
Lineage: Eukaryota; Viridiplantae; Streptophyta; Magnoliopsida; Poales; Poaceae
Description: partial small subunit ribosomal RNA
Source: RNAcentral